RNAcentral lists this ribosomal RNA (253 nucleotides) under uncultured bacterium. RNAcentral's name for it is "partial 16S ribosomal RNA". It matches the Rfam family "Bacterial small subunit ribosomal RNA", at positions 524 to 776 of the family's 1533-position model. The record is from RNAcentral.
UACAGAGACUGCAAGCGUUAUUCGGAUUCACUGGGCGUAAAGGGUGCGCAGGCGGUUGGGUGUGUCAGAUGUGAAAUCCCGAGGCUUAACCUCGGAACUGCGUCUAAAACUACUCGACUAGAGUAUUGGAGAGGGUAACGGAAUUCACGGUGUAGCAGUGAAAUGCGUAGAUAUCGUGAGGAACACCAGAGGCGAAGGCGGUUACCUGGACAAUUACUGACGCUCAGGCACGAAAGCAUGGGGAGCAAAAGGG